Molecule: transfer RNA, 73 nt
Filed under: Acidobacteriota bacterium
Lineage: Bacteria; Pseudomonadati; Acidobacteriota
Also listed under: 3 other names
Description: Acidobacteria bacterium tRNA-Asn
Rfam family: tRNA
About the family: Transfer RNA (tRNA) molecules are approximately 80 nucleotides in length. Their secondary structure includes four short double-helical elements and three loops (D, anti-codon, and T loops). Further hydrogen bonds mediate the characteristic L-shaped molecular structure. tRNAs have two regions of fundamental functional importance: the anti-codon, which is responsible for specific mRNA codon recognition, and the 3' end, to which the tRNAs corresponding amino acid is attached (by aminoacyl-tRNA synthetases). tRNAs cope with the degeneracy of the genetic code in two manners: having more than one tRNA (with a specific anti-codon) for a particular amino acid; and 'wobble' base-pairing, i.e. permitting non-standard base-pairing at the 3rd anti-codon position.
Source: RNAcentral
UCCGCGGUAGCUCAAUUGGUAGAGCGGUGGACUGUUAAUCCAUAGGUUGUAGGUUCGAGUCCUACCCGCGGAG